Long non-coding RNA from Erigeron canadensis, 737 nucleotides. RefSeq lists it as uncharacterized. Lineage: Eukaryota; Viridiplantae; Streptophyta; Magnoliopsida; Asterales; Asteraceae. The transcript has 2 exons. The record is from RefSeq and is a predicted model, not a curated record.
UCCCUAACCCCUAACUCCAGCCUAUGGCAUCAAUUAUCAGAUUUGUGGUGAUAAACCUUCUAUAAUUUGUAUGUGAAAUGUGAAGCGUAGAACAUGAAUGGUCCCGGUCCUGAAACAUUUAGCUGUGUCUUGAUAAAGGAAAAUCUGUUUUUUGGGAAACCCUAUUCAUAUCGUGUCGGGCAUUUUCUAAAGUGGAUUUUGUGCAUCAUUAUCAUGAUAACAUGUUGUUUGAGACAUUGAAACCCUACAUAAUUUGGUGAUUAAUGAGAUUUAAAAGGACUUGCAAGAUGCAUUCUUUAUUUCUGUUCUACAAACCCCUUGUUACAGGCUGUGGUACCACUGAAAAUGCUUUAAAUCACAUUGAAUGUAUAUGCCCCCAAAAGUAGAUAACAUGGGCAGAGAGAUUCAGAAGAGGCUGACACAAUUGAAAGAGAUGUGCAGGGAUUUAAAACAACAAAAUAUAAAUUUUGAGAGCCGAAGAUGACAGGUCAGCACUAUAAAUUCAGUCCCACAUGGGGUCCACUAUAUACAUAUAUUACAUGUAUAUGUAUAUUAUGCAGAAAAAAGGUUUAGCUCAGGUGUUGUAUACCAGCUUUUAUUCUGUUAUUACUUAUUAGGUUCCUUUGCUCUCAGAGUCUCAGCCCUGUAUUUUUUUUUUUCAAUCUAAUUAUGUAUUCUUACUUUUUGAGUUAUUUUUGGAAAUAAAAAAGAAAAAUACAGAGCUUAUUUUUAAACUA